GACGAACGCUGGCGGCGCGCCUAACACAUGCAAGUCGAACGAGCGAGAGAGAGCUUGCUUUCUCGAGCGAGUGGCGAACGGGUGAGUAACGCGUGAGGAACCUGCCUCAAAGAGGGGGACAACAGUUGGAAACGACUGCUAAUACCGCAUAAGCCCACGGGUCGGCAUCGACCAGAGGGAAAAGGAGCAAUCCGCUUUGAGAUGGCCUCGCGUCCGAUUAGCUAGUUGGUGAGGUAAUGGCCCACCAAGGCGACGAUCGGUAGCCGGACUGAGAGGUUGAACGGCCACAUUGGGACUGAGACACAGCCCAGACUCCUACGGGAGGCAGCAGUGGGGAAUAUUGCACAAUGGGGGAAACCCUGAUGCAGCGACGCCGCGUGGAGGAAGAAGGUCUUCGGAUUGUAAACUCCUGUUGUUGGGGAAGAUAAUGACGGUACCCAACAAGGAAGUG
This 451-nucleotide ribosomal RNA is filed under the name uncultured bacterium. RNAcentral's name for it is "bacterial SSU rRNA". It matches the Rfam family "Bacterial small subunit ribosomal RNA", at positions 28 to 492 of the family's 1533-position model. The record is from RNAcentral.